This 1807-nucleotide long non-coding RNA is filed under the name Homo sapiens (human). RNAcentral describes it as "HSALNT0302636". The record is from RNAcentral. Lineage: Eukaryota; Metazoa; Chordata; Mammalia; Primates; Hominidae.
GAAAGAAAGAAAGAAAGAAAGAAAGAAAGAAAGAAAGAAAGAAAGAAAGAAAGAAAGAAAGAAAGGAAAGAAACUACUUGCCACGAGAACAAUUUUCAAUGCUGACUUUACAUGUAAAAACACUUCAAAAGAAGAUAUUCAGAAACCUCCAAAACUAGAAUUACAAUAUCCAGGUUUCUCAGAUAUAAAAAGAUUGAUUACACACAAAAAAAGAAUAUUUUAUGGUGGCAUUCGAACACAUGAAAAAUAACCCAAAUACCUAUCAUUCUAGAACCAUUGCUCAUACCACACUUUAUGACUAAAGAAAAACUACCCUCCGCAUAGGCUCUGGUCUCAUCGCAUACUCAGUCUCAAUGGGAUUUCCUUAAGAGUCAAAACCCCGACAAUUGCAUGAAGCCGGAAGCUCAGCAAUCUUCUGAGGGCAUCUAUCUUGUUUUCUAAGAAGCAUUUUGGAGGUUUUUCUUUACCUGGAGAAAGCACUGGCUAGAGCUAUCUGGCAUACAAUGUAAAGAAGCUUCACGAAAAAUAAAAGAAAAGUGAAAAUAUAUUUAGCUACAAAUGAUUGUCCUCUUCCCUGAAAAUUACAGAAGAGGAAAGCAACAGUGUGUUCAGCAAGCUGGAACUAAACUGUUACUGAAUGGAGAGUUCCCAUCCUGCCUCAGUGGAAUCAAAGAAAAGAGAAAGGCUCCAAAAUGAACACAAUGCGUGUUAUUUGCUACCAUAAACUGUGCAACUGGUUUCUACUGCUGUGUUGCAAUUGAAUAGUAAUCAGGAGAAGUUACACGUUGUUCUUAGAAAUAAUACAACGAAUCCUGUCAAUCUUAAGUCCUGACACUGAAUUUAACGCUCUCUGUUUAGUCCUACCAUCAAGGAUGAUUUGCAGGUGAAGAAUUCUUGAUAGUCAGAUGCAGACUACGUCUUCAGAUCCUAUGGCCUAAGGUUAUUAAGGUGGGAGAAGCAAAACAAAUGCGGUUCUCAUCCAGUAAUAAUGGAUUUACAAGAAUUUGAAACAAAACUUUCCUUCCAGCUACUGCUUUCAUGUCAGAGAAAUAAAAUACAUGUACAAGAUUUAAAGCUUUAUGUGUCUAACCCUUUCUGACCCCUUUUACAUUCAGUUAUUAAUAAUAAUAACUAUGAUAAUAUUGCUUAUGCCCAGGGCUGAAAUGAGGGUUAAUUAGUUAAUAUUUAUAAAGCUUUCUGAAAAUGAAAAGUACUGUUUAAGCCCUAAGUGUAUUCUUUUCUUCUUUCACUCUCUUCUUUCAUUUCCUUCUUUUAUCACAGAUCAAUUGAUUCUUCCUCCCAUCUGGCUAAUUUUUUUCACUGGUUAUAUUUCCUGCUCGUUUUGGAUUAUUGCCCUUGACUCCACAUUGACCUCAAUCACUCUUACCCUUCAACAUUGUGUUUGCUCUUUUUGCCUCCCACGCUUUAGUCACUUCUUUCUCACUUUCAUUUCUUCUUUCUAGUCUUCCUUUAUCCACUCCUAACACUAAUCUCGUAGCUGUAGACUUAUCUUUUUCAUUGUCCUCAUUUUUUAAGCAUAGGUGAAAUACCGGAAUUGAUAUAGAUUUAAUUUAAUUUUAUCUCCUAUGUUAUGCAUUAUUGAGACCAGAAAGUAGAUAAAUCAAAUUGGUCAUACCCAAUCCUUUCCUACAAGAUAGUAAAUGUUUUGAAGUCACAGACUAUUGCCAUCUGGAAUAGUCCUUCUUUUGUAACCCAGUAUAAUCUCCACAAAAAUGUUAUUUUUAAAAAAUCCCUCCACUCUAUAACAUUCUGAUGACCUGUAAGCUUUCAAGAAGUCUUCAGUGAA